CAAAAACAUCGCUUCUGCAAAAAUCAAAGUAUAGGAGGUCCUGCCUGCCCAGUGACUAAAUUAAACGGCCGCGGUAUUUUGACCGUGCAAAGGUAGCGUAAUCACUUGUUUUUUAAAUAAAGACCUGUAUGAAUGGUGAAACGAGGGCUUAACUGUCUCCCCUUUUUGAUCAGUGAAAUUGAUCUGCCCGUGCAGAAGCGGGCAUUUACCUACAAGACGAGAAGACCCUAUGGAGCUUAAGACAAUAUAAUCAACUGACACCCCUCCCCCUCCAAAAAGGUACAAAGCAAAGCAGUAACUGAUUAAUGUCUUCGGUUGGGGCGACCACGGGGGAAAAAAAAUCCCCCACGUGGAGUGGGAUAUAUCCUAAAACCACGAGGCACACCUCUAAGUCACAGAACCUCUGACCAAAAGAUCCGGCAACUUAGCCGAUCAACGAACCAAGUUACCCUAGGGAUAACAGCGCAAUCCCCUCCAAGAGUCCAUAUCGACAAGGGGGUUUACGACCUCGAUGUUGGAUCAGGACAUCCUAAUGGUGCAGCCGCUAUUAAGGGUUCGUUUGUUCAACGAUUAAAGUCCUACGUGAUCUGAG
Molecule: ribosomal RNA, 592 nt
Filed under: Ctenobrycon kennedyi
Lineage: Eukaryota; Metazoa; Chordata; Actinopteri; Characiformes; Acestrorhamphidae
Description: Psellogrammus kennedyi partial 16S large subunit ribosomal RNA
Rfam family: Bacterial large subunit ribosomal RNA
Source: RNAcentral